UUGAAGAGUUUGAUCAUGGCUCAGAUUGAACGCUGGCGGCAGGCCUAACACAUGCAAGUCGAGCGGUAGCACAGAGAGCUUGCUCUCGGGUGACGAGCGGCGGACGGGUGAGUAAUGUCUGGGAAACUGCCUGAUGGAGGGGGAUAACUACUGGAAACGGUAGCUAAUACCGCAUAACGUCGCAAGACCAAAGUGGGGGACCUUCGGGCCUCAUGCCAUCAGAUGUGCCCAGAUGGGAUUAGCUAGUAGGUGGGGUAACGGCUCACCUAGGCGACGAUCCCUAGCUGGUCUGAGAGGAUGACCAGCCACACUGGAACUGAGACACGGUCCAGACUCCUACGGGAGGCAGCAGUGGGGAAUAUUGCACAAUGGGCGCAAGCCUGAUGCAGCCAUGCCGCGUGUGUGAAGAAGGCCUUCGGGUUGUAAAGCACUUUCAGCGGGGAGGAAGGCGUUAAGGUUAAUAACCUUGGCGAUUGACGUUACCCGCAGAAGAAGCACCGGCUAACUCCGUGCCAGCAGCCGCGGUAAUACGGAGGGUGCAAGCGUUAAUCGGAAUUACUGGGCGUAAAGCGCACGCAGGCGGUCUGUCAAGUCGGAUGUGAAAUCCCCGGGCUUAACCUGGGAACUGCAUUCGAAACUGGCAGGCUAGAGUCUUGUAGAGGGGGGUAGAAUUCCAGGUGUAGCGGUGAAAUGCGUAGAGAUCUGGAGGAAUACCGGUGGCGAAGGCGGCCCCCUGGACAAAGACUGACGCUCAGGUGCGAAAGCGUGGGGAGCAAACAGGAUUAGAUACCCUGGUAGUCCACGCCGUAAACGAUGUCGAUUUGGAGGUUGUGCCCUUGAGGCGUGGCUUCCGGAGCUAACGCGUUAAAUCGACCGCCUGGGGAGUACGGCCGCAAGGUUAAAACUCAAAUGAAUUGACGGGGGCCCGCACAAGCGGUGGAGCAUGUGGUUUAAUUCGAUGCAACGCGAAGAACCUUACCUGGUCUUGACAUCCACAGAACUUAGCAGAGAUGCUUUGGUGCCUUCGGGAACUGUGAGACAGGUGCUGCAUGGCUGUCGUCAGCUCGUGUUGUGAAAUGUUGGGUUAAGUCCCGCAACGAGCGCAACCCUUAUCCUUUGUUGCCAGCGGUCCGGCCGGGAACUCAAAGGAGACUGCCAGUGAUAAACUGGAGGAAGGUGGGGAUGACGUCAAGUCAUCAUGGCCCUUACGACCAGGGCUACACACGUGCUACAAUGGCAUAUACAAAGAGAAGCGACCUCGCGAGAGCAAGCGGACCUCAUAAAGUAUGUCGUAGUCCGGAUUGGAGUCUGCAACUCGACUCCAUGAAGUCGGAAUCGCUAGUAAUCGUAGAUCAGAAUGCUACGGUGAAUACGUUCCCGGGCCUUGUACACACCGCCCGUCACACCAUGGGAGUGGGUUGCAAAAGAAGUAGGUAGCUUAACCUUCGGGAGGGCGCUUACCACUUUGUGAUUCAUGACUGGGGUGAAGUCGUAACAAGGUAACCGUAGGGGAACCUGCGGUUGGAUCACCUCCUU
This 1536-nucleotide ribosomal RNA is filed under the name Klebsiella pneumoniae. RNAcentral's name for it is "bacterial SSU rRNA". It matches the Rfam family "Bacterial small subunit ribosomal RNA". Lineage: Bacteria; Pseudomonadati; Pseudomonadota; Gammaproteobacteria; Enterobacterales; Enterobacteriaceae. The record is from RNAcentral.